Molecule: long non-coding RNA, 742 nt
Organism: Pogoniulus pusillus (Red-fronted tinkerbird)
Lineage: Eukaryota; Metazoa; Chordata; Aves; Piciformes; Lybiidae
Exons: 2
Source: RefSeq, a predicted model, not a curated record
AGGGCGCUUGGCUGGGGCUGCUCGCUCGGGUUCUGCCUGUUGUCGCGCGAAAUGGCGGCUGGCGUCUUGUGCUGGGACUGUAAGGACAGGAGCGGGGACAAAGAGGAGCAACUCGUGCCUGCUUUUGUAACUGCGUCAGUCCAAGAUGGCGCAGGGUGUCCCUGGAGAGGGAAGGGAGUUGCACGUCCGCCGGAGGUCAUGUGACCGCGCUGCAUUCCUGUGGGGUUUGGCUGCGGACCAGGCUGGCUGAAGCCGUGGCGGCCGCGGAGAGUCCGCGCUGCCCUCCCCCUUCCUGCACAAUGCCGUCGGUGCUGCGUUCCUUCCCAUUUCCCGUCCCACACUCACUUCACGCAGGAGGGUGUAGCUGCCGCUGAGGAAGGCUCUCGCUUGUCUCUUCCUUCACCUUUCUCCAGGGUGUAGCUGCUCUCGGGGGAAGGUUUCCAUUCCACCCUCUCUCUCUGUAAGGCUUUACCCGCUGCAAGGGAAAGUUCAUCCUCGGCGUCCACUCGCUCCGCCCGUGCGUGGGAUCAGGCGGUGCGCGGCUCCGGCUCUGGGCCUGCCAGCGGCCGGUUGUACUCAAAUAGAUGCCACCCGCUGUUGUUCGGCUACCAUUGUCUCGUGUACGAGAGCGCUUGUCUCUGUAAGUUAGGUGCCCCGGAUCGUCGAAUCGUCCUUAGUAACUUAACGGAAGAGGUCUUUUCAAGUGAUGUUUGAGUGCCUCCAUUAAAACAGCUGAGGAAAA